UACGGAGGGUGCAAACGUUGCUCGGAAUUACUGGGCGUAAAGCGCACGUAGGCGGCUUCUUAAGUCGGUGGUGAAAUCCUGGAGCUCAACUCCAGAACUGCCUUCGAUACUGGGAAGCUCGAGUCCGGGAGAGGUGAGUGGAACUGCGAGUGUAGAGGUGAAAUUCGUAGAUAUUCGCAAGAACACCAGUGGCGAAGGCGGCUCACUGGCCCGGUACUGACGCUGAGGUGCGAAAGCGUGGGGAGCAAACAGG
Molecule: ribosomal RNA, 253 nt
Filed under: uncultured bacterium
Lineage: Bacteria
Description: partial 16S ribosomal RNA
Rfam family: Bacterial small subunit ribosomal RNA
Source: RNAcentral